GGAGAGAUGGCCGAGUGGUUGAGGCGUAGCAUUGAACUGCUAUGUAGCUUUUGUUUACCGAGGGUUCGAAUCCUCUCUUUCCG
Molecule: transfer RNA, 83 nt
Filed under: Salix viminalis (osier)
Lineage: Eukaryota; Viridiplantae; Streptophyta; Magnoliopsida; Malpighiales; Salicaceae
Rfam family: tRNA
About the family: Transfer RNA (tRNA) molecules are approximately 80 nucleotides in length. Their secondary structure includes four short double-helical elements and three loops (D, anti-codon, and T loops).
Source: RNAcentral